Molecule: ribosomal RNA, 253 nt
Filed under: uncultured bacterium
Lineage: Bacteria
Description: partial 16S ribosomal RNA
Rfam family: Bacterial small subunit ribosomal RNA
Source: RNAcentral
UACGUAGGGCGCAAGCGUUAUCCGGAAUUAUUGGGCGUAAAGAGCUCGUAGGCGGUUUGUCGCGUCUGCCGUGAAAGUCCGGGGCUCAACUCCGGAUCUGCGGUGGGUACGGGCAGACUAGAGUGAUGUAGGGGAGACUGGAAUUCCAGGUGUAGCGGUGAAAUGCGUAGAUAUCUGGAGGAACACCGGUGGCGAAGGCGGCAUCCUGGACCGACACUGACGCUGAGGAGCGAAAGCCAGGGGAGCAAACGGG